AGAGUUUGAUCCUGGCUCAGGACGAACGCUGGCGGCGUGCCUAACACAUGCAAGUCGAACGAAGCUGCCUGGAAAGAGACUUCGGUCAAUGGAAGGGUAGACUUAGUGGCGGACGGGUGAGUAAUGCGUGAGCAACCUGCCCUUCAGAGGGGGACAACAGUUGGAAACGACUGCUAAUACCGCAUGACAUCAUUGGGAGGCAUCUUCUGAUGAUCAAAGAUUUAUCGCUGAAGGAUGGGCUCACGUCUGAUUAGCUAGUUGGUGAGGUAACGGCUCACCAAGGCUGCGAUCAGUAGCCGGACUGAGAGGUUGAACGGCCACAUUGGGACUGAGAUACGGCCCAGACUCCUACGGGAGGCAGCAGUGGGGAAUAUUGGGCAAUGGGCGCAAGCCUGACCCAGCAACGCCGCGUGAAGGAAGAAGGCUUUCGGGUUGUAAACUUCUUUUAUGAGGGACGAAGGACGUGACGGUACCUCAUGAAUAAGCCACGGCUAACUACGUGCCAGCAGCCGCGGUAAUACGUAGGUGGCGAGCGUUGUCCGGAUUUACUGGGUGUAAAGGGCGCGUAGGCGGGUAGGCAAGUCAGAUGUGAAAUCUCCGGGCUCAACCCGGAAACUGCAUUUGAAACUGUUUAUCUUGAGUAUCGGAGAGGCAAGCGGAAUUCCGUGUGUAGCGGUGAAAUGCGUAGAUAUACGGAGGAACACCAGUGGCGAAGGCGGCUUGCUGGACGACAACUGACGCUGAGGCGCGAAAGCGUGGGGAGCAAACAGGAUUAGAUACCUGGUAGUCCACGCCGUAAA
This 800-nucleotide ribosomal RNA is filed under the name uncultured bacterium. RNAcentral describes it as "bacterial SSU rRNA". It matches the Rfam family "Bacterial small subunit ribosomal RNA", at positions 8 to 806 of the family's 1533-position model. The record is from RNAcentral.